RNAcentral lists this long non-coding RNA (5337 nucleotides) under Vitis vinifera (wine grape). RNAcentral's name for it is "long non-coding RNA (VVIN_LNC006757)". Lineage: Eukaryota; Viridiplantae; Streptophyta; Magnoliopsida; Vitales; Vitaceae. The record is from RNAcentral.
AAAACUGUGUUUUGGCCCGCCCAUUUGGGCCUAAUAGCUUUUUCAUAACCUAACUUUCCAUAACCCAAAAUAUGUCCACGGUUCCCAAAAAAAAUAUAAUUUUCAUGCACUAUCCACUGUUUAUAAUUUAAUUUCCAAAAUUACCCCGCCUGCCUUCCAUGUCAGCAGCCAUCUCCUUAUCCGUGUCAGCACGGGAAGUUGUGUUUUUAAUAAUUGAACACAGAAAUAUUAAGCUUUAGAGUUAGCAUUUGCAAAACCCACGACCCGACUCAAAAAUUUGGGGAAACGCUCUGACUUCCUCGCUUGUUGCCCUAUUCUCUCCUUUUGCCUGCAUUUUCAUGGGUGGUUUCUGGAAUCGGCGGUGGAGCUUCGUCUUCCUUUUGGGGUAAUCGCAGGUGAGUUUCCAUUUAACAAUUUGUUUGGCUGUUGAGAAAAAAUUUGGGCUAAAUGUUGUUUUGCAUUGUUCACGAGCUGUCCAAGCUUUUUGAUUUUUUUUUUUUUUAAACAUAAGAUGCUAUUUCGUAAUCUGAUUACGAUUUGCAAGCAAAGGUGGUAUUUUUCUGGCUGGCUCAAAAAUCGUGGGUUUAGGGUUUUUGAAAUUUAAUUCCAAUGGCACAAUAAGAUGCUAUUUGGUAAUCUGACCACGAUUUCCAGGCAAAUGUGGUAUUUUUGAGCCUGGCUCAAAAAUCGUGGGUUAGGGUUUGUGAAAUUUAAUUCCAAUGGCACAAUAAGAUGCUAUUUGGUAAUCUGAUCACGAUUUGCAGGCAAAGGUGGUAUUUUCAGCCUGGCUCAAAAAUCGUGGGUUUAGGGUUUGUGAAAUUUAAUUCAAAUGGCACAAAAGCAAAGAGACCCCUAGAUCCAGAAAACAGAGGGAGGGAAAAAAAACACAACUUUCCCUAUAUAUUAGAUGAGUGUCUCCCAACUCCCAUCCCACUCUAAGAGAGAACUUAUCGCCAAACAGGUCCCUUUUCUUUUAUUUUCCUUUAUUUUCUGGUUAUUUUCGACUGUCUGUGACCUUUUAACUUUCUCUUUUUAGUGUAAGUUUUGUAGAAUGUGAAACUUAUUUCUGAUUCUGGUGUUUUGCACCUUGUAUUAUAACCUUUCGAUUGAUAAGAUUAUGCGAGUAUUUGUGUGACUUUUUCAAUGUUUUUAUGGUACUCGGAUUGCAUAGUUAAGUUUCAAUUAGGUUUUAAAUUUUCUAUUUCAGAAUGGACAUUUGAAUUUCUGAUAGAGCUCUUAAAUUGGCCUGAAAUACCUCUUUUACCUAGACCUUUACUAGAUUCCAAUGUUUUUCAUGGUGUAUUUUAUAUGGAGGUGAAAAUGGAUUUCCAUUCUCUGAAUUUUAUUUUUUCCAAUUUUUUCUAAUAAUUUGUUGGAGUAGUUUUAUUGUGAUUAUUGUAGAGAGCAUGUGUAUUAUUUUUUAAUUUUUUAUUUUUCUUCAUGAUUUCCUUUUAUGCUAUGCUGGAAAAUUUUGCAUGAUGAUGCUGAGAAAAGAAUGCUUGAUUAUUUUUUUGUUCUAAUUUUUCCUACGUCCAAGUUGCAUUGGACUUAAGUGAAGAUGAAAAACAACAUCUUCAGAAUUUGGAAGAUGAAGAAGGCAGGUAUUAAUAGAUGUUAUCUUCACUUUUGGCUUAUUCUGUAAUUUACUGUAAGUAUUUGUGAAAUUCUUCUUUCACUGUUAGAAGUACCUUGAGCCGUCUAUUAAUGGUUGUGUUAGAAAGGGUGUCAUAAACUUACCUUAUGUUUGGUUCUUGGAAAGUAAUAAGAAAAGGAAAGGAAAAAAUGCUAGUGAAAAUGGUUUUCUCAUGUUUGGGUACCAUGCGAAAGAUGAAGAAAAAAAAAAACCAAAGAAAAGGGUUGGGGUGGUGGUGGUGUCCAUUUUCCUUAACAAAAAAUGAGGAAAGUUAGUGGAAAUUACAUUCUUUAGCAAUUUAAUUUUCUUUCCUUCAACUUUUCAAUGGACAAUCAAAUAAAAGAAAACUUUUAUUAUUUUUUCUUAUAUUUCUCUGCUCUAUUUUUUUUCCUUAAAACUUUCCAGAAACAAAACAUAGGCUUAGCUUAUAUGGUUAGAAGUCGAAUAUAGCUGUAACAGUUAUGAUAUUGAGAAGCUACAGAUUGCUGAUCUAGUGUGGUGGUUCCAAACAUUUAUUCAUGUUAUGGAUUUGUUAAAGUUUGUGUUCAAAAAUAUUUCAUGCUUCAUAGUUGUUCUAUCCUGUUUGUAUUUCUCGAAUCUAGCCACCUUUCAUAAAUUUCAUUUUCAUGUUAGUGAAACAUAUUUCUUGUGCUUGUAUAUCUAUUAUUCCAUCCAUUGUUAGACAAAAGUAUAUGGCAUCCAGUAUUUUGGUACUGUAUUAAUGGAAUACUAUAAUUAAAAUACCAACACUAACUUGUUUAAGUAUUUAACUCUUCUAUCAUGCUUUGAUAUUUUUUUCUCCUGUUUAAUGUCAUUGCCUUCAUUAGUUCUGGUCUCUUGUAUCCCCUUGACAUUUAUGCUAUUUUGGGAUAAAUUGAAUGGUGGAAAGUGGUAUAGGACUUGUUAGAAUGUACCAAGAUAUUUGUGGAUACCUGAGCUCUCAAAACUUUCCUGAGGUUAGAAGGGAGUAAGAUUUUAGAAUCUUUCGAGUUUAAGCUUGAUUCCUAAGGGCCUAAAGGCUAAUGAAAGAGAGGAACUCUGUUAAUGGAAUUUAAAUUACUCAAUCUUAUCCCUGGAGGUGUCUUCCAAAAAGUCUCAUGAGCAACAAACUGUGGCUGCUCAAGAUGUAGACAGGUGGGCUUAUCAAGCGACAUGUCUCCUCUUCAAUGUUCUUAAUCGCUUAAGUCAUGUGAACUAAUGACCCCAAUAUUUGUAUAUGCAGUUUCACUAUAUUGUGUCAACAAUUCUUAAAUUCUCCAAAAAAAUAAAAAUAAAUUCAAAUAUCCAUCUUUGGGUAAUUUUGCAUUAUUAAUAAUAGGUCACUGACCCUUUUCCUAAUGGGUAAUGAGGUCUCUAAGUAAAAACUGGGGACUUUACACAGGCUACCCUGUUGUUUACAACAUAGCCCCCCACCUCUCCCCCUCCCCCUCCAUUUUUUUUUUCCUUUCUUUUUCUUAUGAUACAAUAUCGGGAAAACUGUGUUUUGGCCCGCCCAUUUGGGCCUAAUAGCUUUUUCAUAACCCAACUUUCCAUAACCCAAAAUAUGUCUACUGUUGCCCAAAAAAUUAUCCUUUUCAUGCACUAUGUACUGUUUUAUAAUUUCAUUUCCAAAAUUACCCCUCCACAUCCAUGUCAGCAGCCAUCUCCCUCUCCAUGUCACGGGUUGUGCUUUUAAUAAAUAAACACAAAAAUCUUAAACAAGUUAGCAAAACCCACGCAACACCCGACUCUGAAAUUUGGGGAAACCAGGUUAGGGCAAAAGGAGAGAAAGUCACAGAGAGUCCUUAGCUUCUUUCUCUUCUCUCUCUUUUCUCUCUGUUGUGUGAAUUUCUCAGUGCAAAAUCGAAAGCUUGUAAGCUGUAAUCGAUUCACGCGUGUCUCCAUACUACUGAUUCGCAAAUUUCUUCAGAUAAAGCCCACGCAACACUUGACUCUGAAAUUUGGGGAACCCAGGUUAGGGCAAAAGGAGAGAAAGUCACAGAGAGUCCUUAGCUUCGCUCUCUUCUCUCUCUUUUCUCUCUGUUGUGUGAAUUUCUCAAUGAAAAAUCGAAAGCUUGUAAGCUGUAAUCGAUUCACGCGUGUCGCCGUACUACUGAUCCGCAAAUUUCUUCAGAUAAAGCGAUUUCAUCUCCAGGUUCUUGCCUUCAUUUAGAGAUUUCCACUCUGUUUUGAGCUCUCUUACACUAUUCAAGUUAGAUUCGCUUUCUAGUCCUUCUUUUAGCUUCUGUUUGGUUGCUCAGAAAACUGAGGUAAAUGAGGAAAAUAUGAGGCGAAACUUAUAUGAUUAUUUUUUUUUGUAUUGUUGUUGGUUUCUUUGCAAUGAAAGAGAGCAAAUGUUUAGGCGCAGCUGUAAAUCUCGAGCUUUGUUCUUUAUUCCCGUUUUUUUUCUUCCGGCGACCACACGAACGAACGAUAAAUAUGUACAUUUUUGUGUAUUCUUUACUUGGUCUCCUGAUUACUAUUUUUGUUUGGUAAUUUUUUUCAUUGAUUUCAUGCAUCUGGAACUAUUCAGUGCACGUAAUUUAGGUUUCUGGCCUAAUUUUUGGGAUUUAGGUUCUCUUGAGAUUGACAAUUAAUUAGUGUUUUUAUUUUUAAUUGCAAUUUAGCACCCGAGGAAAGCUGAAUUUCUGAACUUCUGUUGUGUGAUUAGAUGCUUAGUUUGUGACAUGACUGAUUUUCUCGAAUACCUAUGUAAUUUCUGCUCUGUGGGAUGGUUGAUUUUGUUUGACCUUGAUUGAAUUUUUAAACUCUUUUUUCGCUCUUGGAUUUGGUUCUUGAGGUAAGAUAAAGUUGUGGGUAUGUUUUUAUUUUAUUUGUUUUUGUGUUCUUUUAAUAAAAGCUUGCUGUUUUAUGUUGGGUGUUUGUUUAUUAAUGUUUUUUUAGCACUUUGUGUGGAUUGAUUGAUUGUAAUCCUAAUUUUCUGUGCUUCUUCUUAUUUUUUUUGUUUUUUUUUUUCUGGGUUUUUUGGUUUAAUUUGUUCAAGGGUUUUGUUUAAAGGUGGUAAGGAGCAGAUUAUAUAAGCCUAUAAGCAUGUAUUCAAAGCUGGUUGGAUUGAGGAAAGCUGAACUUCUGAACUUCUGCUGUGUGAUUAGAUGCUUAGUUUGUGACAUGACUGAUUUUCUCGAAUAUCUAUGUAACUUCUGGUCUGUGGGAUGGUUGAUUUUGUUUGACCUUGAUUGAAUUUUUAAACUCUUUUUAGUUAAAUGUUAAUGGAAACUGAUGCAAACCCUAAUGAGUAGGUGUGGCAAUAUGAGCUCUUGGGAAUUAGGACAUGUUUGGGAGACAAAGUUGGAGAAUUCAAGAACAGAUGCCAGAGGCAGUAUAAGCUAUUUGAACCAAAACCCACCUCUCCUGCCACCUAGAGAGCUGUUUUUUAUUUUUUAUCUUUAAAUUAAGUUUAUAAUUUGUUUUUCCUUUUUUUAAUGCAUAGAGCUUCACAUCAAACAACAAAUAAGGUUUUCUUACUUUGUGCCAAAUGGAGGGUCCUUAGCUUCUCUCUCUUUUCUCUCUGUUGUGUGAAUUUCUCAGUGAAAAAUCGAAAGCUUGGGUUCUUAUCCAUCUUAAUUUUUAUUAAAUGAAAACCGUGGGUUGGGUUCAAUCACUGCUACCAUUGGACUAUGAUACUCUUUGAUAAGAUAUAUUUAUUUUAAAUUUGUUAAGGUUCAUCAUUACAAAAAUACAAUUUUAAUUAUUUAAUUUGAAAU